RNAcentral lists this long non-coding RNA (5634 nucleotides) under Heterocephalus glaber (naked mole-rat). RNAcentral's name for it is "lncRNA (ENSHGLG00000049397.1)". Lineage: Eukaryota; Metazoa; Chordata; Mammalia; Rodentia; Bathyergidae. The record is from RNAcentral.
CCGUGUGGCACAUCUCCAUUGUUCUAACUCACUCAUCCAUAACAGCUGGAGACCCAAGCAAGAUGGUCAGAAUGGGGAGAUUCACUUUGAUGUGGUUCCUCCUGUCUGCAGUCUGUAAGGGAGGCACCCCCUGAGACUUGCCGCUGCCAGAUAGUCUCAUUGCUGACACUGAGAAAACUGCAGAGAUGCCUGAGACAACUUCCAAAUAUUGUGGCAUAUAUCUGGUCUGGUCUUCAGCUUCUAUUUUUGGGUAUCUCCUGCCUGCCCUAAGUCUCUCUACUAUGAGAUCAUCAUCUUCACAACCUGUUACACCCAUAGUCUUCAUGUAGUCAGUUCUGCGGCAGUCAGAAGGUAAGGAAGCCCUCCCCCAUCCACCGCCAUAUAACCCUAGUUCACCCCUCCCUCCUGUCCUUUGUGACCCUCCUGCCACCAACUCCCUCAUAUUUCUCUCUACUUCUCCUGCCACCUCUCCCCCUAUAGGAGAGCAUCUCCCAUCCUGGCAGGAGGGCACCACAUCAGGAAGAGGCAAUCCAGAGACUCUUGCCUUUGAGAGAUGCCCCUCCUCCCAAUAAGGCAGGCCCAGGAACUGGCCCAUUCUCUUAUAUGUUCCCUUUUCCACUUCUGAUCUCUACAACUCAAAAACCAAGAAUCCACUGUUCUCUGAGAAUCCCCAGGUUCUACUUUCUCUAAUAGACUCCAUUUUUAGGGCUCAUCCACAAAACUGGGAUAACUGUCAGCAGUUGUUAUUGACCCUGUUAACUGCUGAGGAAUGGGACAGGGUGUGGUUUGAGGCUAGAAAGGUUUUAUUGGGGAGGUGUUCAGAGGAAGAGGCCCACAAAUUGCUGAAAUAAUGUUUCCGCUCAGAGCAGCCUCAAUGGGAUCCAAAUGCUUCAGGAGGAACACAGACUUUGACUACUUUUUACCAGAACUUGUUGAAUGGUAUUCAAACAGCAGUUCAGAAACCCAUAAAUCUGUCAAAAACCACUGAAGUAACACAGGGACCAGAGUAGUCCCUCACUGCAUUCCUGGAGAUUCUCCAAGAGGCCUUCCAGGUAUACAACCUGCUCAAACUCUCUGCUCCAGAGAAAAAUAGAGCUACAUGUUAGGCUUAUGUUUCUCAGUCUGAACGUGAUAAGAGGAGACAAUUACAAAUAUUGGAGGGGUUCCAAGGAAUGAACACACCUCAGAUAUGAGAAGUAGCUCACAAGGUGUUUAACAAUAGGGAUUCAGAAAAAAAAAAAAAUUGGCCAUAGUUGUGGCAGAAAGAUCAGCCAGGAAGCAAGCAAAGAUCUUGGCAGCAGCCAUCAGAGGGGACCCUGAGGGACACAACCCCAGGAAGCUCAAAGGUCUGAUCCCCAGAAAGCCAAGGGCAGAAAUCAAUGUGUCCGUUGCAAGGAAGAAAGGCACUAGAAAAAAGAAUGCCCUCUACUGAUAUCCCUCCCCACAUUUGAGGGAAAGGAAGAUUCAGAUUGAGGGGGCUAGGGCUUCUUCUCUCAUGAUCCCUGGGAGCCAUGGUAAAUGUUGAAGUAGGGGGCCAACUGGUCCAUUUCCUAGUGGCCACUGGCACUGAGAGUUCAAUGUUAAAAAAUGUUCUGGCAGGGCUUUCAUCAAAAACCAUCCCCACAUAGGGGGCCACAGGAGCAGUUCAAAACUUCCAUACCUGAUUGAGGAUACCCCUUGCUGGGAUUAGACCUCCACAAUACCCCAUCUCUCAGAAGGCCAGACAAGGGAUAGCCCCUCACUGUAAGAGGUUGGUGGACUUUGUGAUGUUAAGGUCCUGUCUGUCUCCAUGGAACACCCCAUUCCUGCCAGUACAAAAACUGGGGACAUCAGAUUACAAGCAGGUUCAGGACUCAAGAGAAGUUAAUCAGUGAGUGGUAACUUUUCAUCCUAUUGUCCAUAACCCCUAUACCCUCCUGAGUUUGCUGUCUCCUGAGCACCAAGUGUAUACUGUGCUAGAUUUAAAAGGUGCUGUUUUUCAGUGUUCUCCUUGACCCAGCUACCCAGCCUAUUGUCACAUUGCAGUGAACUGACCCUGUUUCCAGGGACUCAUGCCAGCUCACCUUGACCCACCUUCCUCAAGGAUUCAAAAAUGCACCCACCCUGUUCAUUGAGGCCCCCUCAGAAGGACUUGGUGAGUUUUAAUCCCUAACUUCACCCUGCUUCCAUAUGUGGAUGAUUUGUUAUUAGCUGCUACUAGAUAUUCAGAAUGUCUGCAGGAGACACAAGAGCUUCUUCAGCUCCUGGAGGAGUUGAGCUACAGCAUCAUGGCCAAGAAGGCACAACUCUGUGCCCCUAAAGUAUUGUACCUGGGGUAUGAAUACUCAGAAGGAAGAAGAGUUUUGUCCCAGGCCAUGAAAAGAUCAUCCUCCAGAUAACCACAUCAACUACCAAGAAUCAGUUUUGAGCUACUCAGCCCCUGCCCACCUCUACACCAUGCCACCUGUUCCAUCCCAGUAAUACUGUCUUCAUCAAGGCUUUUCAGAGUGAAGGACUAACUCCAGCCUGGAAGGGAUAAUACACAGUCAUCCUCACAAUGCCCUUGGGUCUCAAGGUUGAUGGAAUUUUGACCUGGGUUCACCAUUCGUGCAUCAUAGUGUGAAACAGUGGACUGCUGAACUGGGACUUGAUCCUUAAAAGCUAAGGCUAGUCCAAUCAUGAUUGUGAUGCUUGUCGUUAUUGUCUUUGGUCUGACUAGGAUGAACUCUGGGGAGAUGCAAUGAGGAGAAUUGCACUCCUUUCUCCUCACCUCUGUUCACUCAGGAAAACUUCUAGGUAAUGUCACUUUUGGUGCCAUCUGACCUGGCAUCCUCUCAGGUUCCCUGAGGUCGAUCUCUGUAAAUUAGUUAGGAGAGAUUGGGAAAGCUACUACUAACUGUUCAUCACCCUGGGCAGCCGUGAGUUUUAUGCGCAUUCAUGUUUCAAUCCAUUUGGACAGCAGGGUUGUGGGUCCUCAACUGACUUCUCCUGCUCUCACUGGGGCUGUGUAAAGAUUACCUCCUAUAGAGGGUUACCAGAUGUCACUAAUGAUAUCAGAGUUUGGAUACAUGGGUGCCUAGUUCCAAUUCUGAUACAAAGACCCUUGAACUCUAAAUGGGCCACAGGAUGGAAUUGGGGAUUCUGCUUCUUGCUCCUUCCAGGACUAAUUCCUCACACAGGUAAAAUCAUGGCAUUUCAGACCAUGUUACUAACCCGGGCAACAAAACAGUGCAAAACCUGUAAAACUGAUGUAUGAGAUCCUACCACAAUUGCUUGCAUAAUCCCUUGCCCAAUUAAGUCUCUAAUUGAGUCAAUACUUUGAUAUCAUGCUUAGAGGAAUUGGGACUAUGAUAGCCAACUCAACUCCAUCUUGAGCCUCAAUAUCAUCUUAUACCUGUGCUUGGACAAAGCACCCCAAACCCCACAUCCUGUUUGGCAGUAAACUUGCUGCAGCUGCUGCAUGUUUUUUAGUUAUCUGAGUGUGUGAAACUUCCUUGUGUCCCCCACUCACCUGACAUGGUUGUGCCUCUGGAGAAAGAAAUGUGGGUUUUUUUAUAGAAUGGAGUACUACUCAGCUAUAAAGAAGGAAAAACUAGUGGCAUUUAUAGCUAAGUGACUGCACAUUGAGGCCAUACUCUUAAGUGAAAUAAAUAGGACACACAUGUGCAAAUACCAAAUAGUUUCUCUGGUGUGAAAACCUAAAAAGUGUAAAUGAGGGUCAAAAUAUAUAAUUGAUAUUGUGUAAUAGGAAGAAAAGGUCUAAAGUGGUAGGGGAAAAGCAAGAAGGGAAAAGAAAAAAUAUGAGUAAAGGAAGAAAUGGAAACAAAGUCUGUAAAUAGGGAUGGGUUGAGGGUUUGAAGGGAGUGCAGGGGAAUAGGGAAAAAAUAAGAACCAAGGAGCAUCACGUACAGGUACAAGUUCCCAAUGAUGACUAUAAGAAUAUUGUAUACCUAAAAUGUACAAAUAAACUUAAGGAAAAAAAUAACUAAUAUGAUCAACUUGUUCAAAUAUACACACUACUGAUAGUAUUUGUCUAAAGGCAUCCAGAGUUUAGUUGAGAGGGUAAACAACAUCCAUGAACUUGUCAGAGUUUGCACUAGGUAGAUGGAAGAUAUGAAAAGUAUUCAGUAUCACACUGGAAAUACACAUGCAAACACAUGCAUGCAUGUGCUAUCACACAAAAUCAGAUACAUGAAAUCCUACAACAGGGUCAUCAGUGGAGUCACUGCAGAUUAAGAAAUAAUCAUGUAGUAGAAAAAGAAACAACAGAACUUAUCUAAGAAUUAUUGUUUAGGAAAUGGAAUGAAUAAAAUGCACUACCAAAUAGUCUAACAUAAAGCAGUAAUGAAAUAGGAACAAUGUGAGGAGGUACAUGUCAACACUUUUUUGAAAAUAAGAAAGUUAUUAAGCCAUUGAUUAAGCAGUUCAAAGGAUCAUGGGAAGGAUAACUGUCAAGGACACUUGAGUCUUUCCAGAAAAAGAAAGGACAAAUGUAAAAAUGUAAAUUGAUAUGUGAGAAAUAAUGGAAAUUUUAAUUUCGAUUACUUUAAAACUAAGGGACUGAAGGAAAGUAAUACUACUGCAUUAUGAAUUUAAGCCACAUAUAAAAAUAGCAUUUAUGAGAAAAAUAACAAAAAAGAGGUGAUAAUCGAUCAUUAUUUUUCAAGCCAUCUGUUCUUGCUGCUUGUUCAAUAAGGGCUGGAUAUGUAGCUUAAUGGUACAGUGUUUGCCUAUUGUUGUUCAUGGCCUGGGUUCAAUCACCAGCACCAAAAAAGAAAAGAUAUAUAUAUACUUGGUAGCCAUUAUUAUAAUUUGGGGUUCAAAGCAAAGGUCAUUACUGCAUGGAGAAUAACAAAUAGAAUAUCAAGAAUAAACUAUAGAUAUCAUCAAGGGCUCACAAAAGUUAAAAUGUAAAGUGAAAGAUAUGAAAAUAUUCUGCUAAUGAAUUUGAUGAUGAAAAAAUAAAGUUCCUUAAAUGUACAUUAGGUGAAAUAAGUAAUGUGAGUAAUUAUCUACUUAAUAAAUUAAAGUGUUUUAUGAAAAGCAUUCAUAUGAAUAAAAUCUGCAUAAUGUUUUUUCCUUCGUAAAACAAAUCCUCACCUCUCCUUUACACUGAAUAUUGGAUGAACUCCCUGUAACAAUGUGGAAGAAGAGAACAGAACCAAAAGAUAGGAGAAUGUGAGCACUGAGUUACCUGCCAAAAACAGCCAACCCAAAAGUAAUCUGAGCCACAGGAUAAGUGUGAUACACCAAUAAAUUCAGGUGAUAGCCAUGAGUAUUGUUUUGUGUUGAGUGAGUCUAUUCCUGAAAGAUUCAUCACACUAGAAAAACUGUUUCCUAAUAUAAUUACCCUGCCUGUCAACAUCCAUCAUCUGUUAAGUUAUUCUUUCUUUUAAUAAGUUCAUUUUUAAGUAUCUGUUUAUACUUGAGACUUGGAAGCUUUAGCCCCCAAUGCCAAGCACUAUGUCUUCUAUUAGAAAAUGUAAAAAACAUUGAAAAAUGCACAUGUUUCAGUGACUGCUGUUUUAGAAACAUAUAAUAUCAGUAUUACUGUCUAGCCAUUCAUAAUAAUUAAUUAAUAAUUAGUAAUUUCUUUGUUGUUAUGGUCUUCUAAAUUAUCAUAAAUAUAUUAAAUAGCAAACUGCCCUAGCACCA